Struthio camelus australis is the source of this 1590-nucleotide long non-coding RNA. Lineage: Eukaryota; Metazoa; Chordata; Aves; Struthioniformes; Struthionidae. The record is from Ensembl.
CUCGUCUCUGGUGACAGUCCCCUGCUCCAGCAGCUCCCCUCGGGCCCUGCUCGUCCAGCGUCACUCGUGCUCAUCCAAAAGCGAUAGUUCUGGGAGAAAUAUCUUUUCUGGUCAAAGCGUUCCCAGAUUAACUCUGUCCCGGUUAAUCCCGAAUCAAGCGCUCUGGUCUCCGACUGCAGCUCGUUUAUAGCACGGAAACAAAAGAGGUGGGAGAAAGCCGAAGCGGCAGAGCCCCCUCGCUGGACGCGACACCGCGCCGUCACGUGCCGUUGUUUUCCCUCUAGGCCGUUCCAAGUCAUUAAGAAAAAUGGCAAAAUUACUUUUUUCUAGCUCUUCGUUAUCGUCGUUGUUGUCCCAGGUUAAUUUUUUUUUUGAACUUUCAGUCUGUUUUAGGCGACCUUCUCUGACUCUCUGAGGGGCCAAGGCUUCGGUAGCUGCUCCUUUCCUCGGCGGGCGGCUGCGAAGCGAAGAGCCGCCCGGCAGCGGCGCGGCUUUUCGAGGUAGCGGCUCUGGGUUUCAAGUGCAUCCAAAGCUUCGUUUGGAAGCGCUGCCAGGGCAGAAGCACCGUUGUUUCCGUGGGACCUUGCUGAUGAGCUCUCGGGCUGGUCCUGGCUUACAGCCUCUGCGUACCCCUGGCCAACAUCCGAGCCCCUUGGGUCUUCGCUGCGCUGCCGGCACGGCGUGGCGCCUAGGACUGUUGUCUGCUCCCUGCAGAUAAAGCCAAUGACUGUUCCUGAUGAAGCAGCCCUUUCUGCUCCCCGGAGUGAGAGAAGUGCUAGCCAGUUACACUUUCAUCUAACCUAACAUCCUCAACACCAGCACUGAGGAUCGAAGUGCAGAAGGAGACCAGGAGAAACAGAGGGAAAAAAUGUGCAAGCUCCUAGGAAAAGCUCCAUUGGCAACAGAGGCAUUUUUAAGGGUUGUGUGGCUGAGAGAGACAGGAAAAAAUGAUUUCCAUGAAUAAGCAUUUGAUGAUCAUUAUGUGAAGGUGACAUGGCAUGUCUGGCAUUCCCAGCGCAAAGUGCAACUCAUUUCCAAGCUCCUGACAAUCAGACAUCGUGACUUACCAUCGAAGCAGGGAACCGUCAAUGUCCCACUACGCCUAGAUGGCCAAUGCUCUAAUAACCCUCCUUAAUUGCUGUCUCAGCAGCAGCCUGCACCGACUGGUGUGACAGAUGCUUCAGAGCCGAUCUGGACUGUAAUCAUUGCAAGCCUUUUCCAGUGAUAUGUAUGGGAGCUUUUGGGGGUGAGACUUGCUGGAUUUGCCUCUUCCACUCCAGGGGUUUGCUGCAGGGGCACAACCUGUAAGGGAAGUUUGCUCCAGCACCAUAGUGUGGACUGUACAGAGGUCCCUGCACUGGUCCACACUAACGCACAGAGGCGCUUGCUUUCGGUGUCAGCUGCAAUGGCAGGCAGCAGUCCAAGCUCUUCAGCAAAUUGAUCAAAAGCUCUCAAGCAUUUGUUUGCACUGAGCAUUAGUGCUCCAUCCGACAGGAUCCAUCAGGAAUUUGCAGGUGUUGACAGUGCUCAGCACCUUACAGGAAAAGGCCUUCAAAAGGCAAGGAAAAAUAAAGCAAAAAAUGGUUCUCA